RNAcentral lists this unclassified non-coding RNA (350 nucleotides) under soil metagenome. Its description in RNAcentral is "partial contains 5.8S ribosomal RNA, internal transcribed spacer 2, and large subunit ribosomal RNA". The stretch from base 1 to 120 matches the Rfam family "5.8S ribosomal RNA", at positions 35 to 154 of the family's 154-position model. The record is from RNAcentral.
GAUGAAGAACGCAGCGAAAUGCGAUAAGUAAUGUGAAUUGCAGAAUUCAGUGAAUCAUCGAAUCUUUGAACGCACAUUGCGCCCGCCAGUAUUCUGGCGGGCAUGCCUGUUCGAGCGUCAUUUCAACCCUCAAGCCCAGCUUGGUGUUGGGGAUCGGCACAGGCGCCCUCGGGCGCCCGCCGUCCCCUAAAUCUAGUGGCGGUCCCGCUGCAGCCUCCUCUGCGUAGUAGUUUUCUCCUCGCAAGGGCAGCUCGGUGGCGACCUCGCCGUAAAACCCCCAACUUCUGAAAGGUUGACCUCGAAUCAGGUAGGAAUACCCGCUGAACGUAAGCAUAUCAAUAAGCGGAGGA